AUUUGGCCCCUUUUGGAUUAUGAUCCUGUGUCAGAGUGACGUUUUGAGUCUGAUUGGCGUGAAGUGUGAUACUCAUGUGAUGAUCUGCUGACAGAAUAAAUAAAUUGUAGAAAGUGCCAAGACUGUUCAGGCAUUUGCUGUAAUAUCACUCCCACAGGAGGAACCUUCAUCACAGUCUUUCUUCAAGUAUGUUCUCUCCUCUGGGUCAGAGUUUCCUGCAGAACAGAAAUUCCAAUUUUGACCAUCUCUCCGUGUAGUGAAUACUUCACUCACUGUGACUCUUUGCCAACUCAAUGAAAAGGUCCAGAGACUUCUUUGCAGCAGCAGAAUACCCACCUGCCAUGUUCCAGUUGCUUUCCACUUCUGGCUGUACCACCUGAAUGUAGAAAGCUAAUAAAGUAGGUCCAGAAUUUUGCA
This 417-nucleotide long non-coding RNA is filed under the name Parus major (Great Tit). RNAcentral describes it as "lncRNA (ENSPMJG00000013598.1)". Lineage: Eukaryota; Metazoa; Chordata; Aves; Passeriformes; Paridae. The record is from RNAcentral.